CGCUGCUCUGAUGGUAAUGGCUUAUCGGAACUUAUUAACAUGAGUGUCACUAAAGUUGGUAUACAAUCCCCCAUUGCCAAAUUUGACUGGCUUAA
This 95-nucleotide Y RNA is filed under the name Saimiri boliviensis boliviensis (Bolivian squirrel monkey). RNAcentral describes it as "Y RNA (ENSSBOG00000000780.1)". It matches the Rfam family "Y RNA". From Rfam's summary of the family: Y RNAs are components of the Ro ribonucleoprotein particle (Ro RNP), in association with Ro60 and La proteins. The Y RNAs and Ro60 and La proteins are well conserved, but the function of the Ro RNP is not known. The record is from Rfam by way of RNAcentral. Lineage: Eukaryota; Metazoa; Chordata; Mammalia; Primates; Cebidae.